CCUGCCUACCAGAGCCCUGCACUCCGUGUUGAGGACGGCUAGAGGUUCAUCUCUUUCGGUCAUUUUAGCCACUCACCGAGGUCUCUCUUUCCCCAUAUCUACUGCCUUUUGUAUGAGCCAUUUUGUAUAAAUUAUUUAUAUUUAAUAUUUCUUGCUUUGUCCAGGCAGGCAUCAGGCCAUCUGGGGUAGGGAGGGACUGGAUUCUCCUCGUUAUCCUGUGUGGAGGUCGCUGGACUGCCUUCUGCCUUGGGGAGUUUGGAACACAGAAAAUCAGGUGGCUGAAACUUGGUGCCACACAGAGCCUCUGUCCUGUUUCUUGGCUGAAGAUGACAAUGUAAUAGUCUGAGAAACACCAGAGAGCUUCUCCCCUCACAAGUCAGGAGAGCCGGCCACAGACAGGCAUGGCAUGCACCUCAAUAAACGCUGCCGUAUGGUUCCUGACUCUGCUUCUUGAAAGCUUGAGGGGACGAGGCCUGGCACCCUUCCCCAUUCCUGUGAGACACAUACUGUAAUUUUGCUCCAAAGACCUAUUCGAUAGUCUUGUCUUCAGUUCCUGCGAUGGGCCAAAGGAACCUAGUGAGUAUACUCUUUCAGCAAAACCAGGAUAGACAGCAAGUCAAUUAUUGUGAGUGCAUCUUUUUAAAAAGCUAGCCAGGUGUCAUGUUGCAUACCUGACAUUCUAGCACUUGGGAGGCAGAGGUGGGUGGAUCUGGAUCUGUGAGUUAGAGGCUAGCCUGGGCUACAUUGUGAGACCCUAUCUCAAAUAAGUUGCUGGUGAUGGGACUCAGUGGGUGACAUGACGGGACUAGGGGAAGGGAGCAGCUGGAGAAGGAGUCUUGGUCAGGAAGGCUGGGAGAUCAUGCCAUGGGACAAAAGAACCAAGAAGGGUCCGAGGCUAGUGUUUGCAGACUUCGUUGUCACACAAUGUCAUUAAAUAACUGCAGAUGUGGAGGAUUUAACCACAACAGCCUCAAAGGUACCUCUUUCAAGAGCAUCCCAACCAGAAAGCUAACCUUGGUCCAUCGUUCCCCCUCUCAGGCCACCUGUAGCCAAGCAAAAGGCCGCUCGCUGCUGGCUGUUCAGGGACCCUUUCCCAGACUCCUGUCACUUUUAGAAGCUGAGAGUGCAGAUGAAUGCAACAGGUUAGAAGUCCUCGGGACAUUGCUGAGAUGACAGCCCGUGGCUUAAAUGAUGUUCAGUCUAGCCAUUAACGGCAAGAAGGUAACCACCACUUUGGUUUUGUUUCCCCAAGACCCUGGCUUAAUAGCACCAGGGAACGUCAAGUUUCAGUCGUAAACUUUGGAUCUUGGCACCCCUAUGCUUUUUGCCUCUUCAAGAUUGAGCACCUAGCUGGGUGCUGGUGGCGCACGCCUUUAAUCCCAGCACUCGGGAGGUAGAGGCAGGCGGAUUUCUAAGUUCGAGGCCAGCCUGGUCUACAGGGUGAGUUUCAGGACAGCCAGGGCUACACAGAGAAAUCCUGUCUUGGAAAAAAAAAUAAGAUUGAGCACCUUUCUAAUCGUACCUGAAGGAAAACAUUUUCAGAUUCGGGGGCCAACAAAUUCACCCCUAGACAUUGAAGGGCAUUCCUGUCUUCUGGAUAAGCUUUCCAGAAUGAACCCUUAACUUGGAGUCUUCAGUUCAGAUAGUAGAUGUGUCAGUUCUUCUCUGCAUGUAAGACACUCCAGUCACUCUUGUCUUUAGCUUUAGCAUGAGAGUGAUCAGAAUGGUCUUACAGGGCUUUUGAAAGCAAGAAAAUGCUUAAACUAAAGAAUUCGUAAGCUGGGCUACCACACAUCUUCAAUCCCAGCCCUUGGAAGCAGAGACAGGUGGAUUUUUGUGCCUGGUCAACAUAGUGAGACCAUGUCUCAUGAAGCAAAAAAGUUACGGAAAUAUUCCAGGAUAAAGAGAAGGAUGGAGACCAACUAGUUCCAGGGAGUUCAGGCUAUAAGAGACAGUAAUUCUGAAAGAGACAAAGAGACACGGGGGUAGGGUGGGGUGGGGUCGGGGGUUCUGAGGGCACUUGCAUUAGAGAAGAACUGUAUUUGGAAAUUUUCUGAACAGAGGAAGUAACGGAGCAGUGAGUCUGGCUCGGACUUCCAUGGCAUUCAUAGGAGAAAUGAAAGAUUCCUGAGGCUUGGUACUCCUUCCUCGGUUUACCUGGGGUUGAGGGUGAAAUACCUACCAAGUACUACAUUCCUAAGAGGAAUACCCAUGAAAGUACCUAGUUCUAAUACCUAUAUAUGUCUGGGUAUCUAGUUGAAAAUUAUGGUUCAAGGGUCUGGAUGAGGCCAAGAUUCGUGCAUUUUUUAGCAACCUCUCAAGUGGUACGGAUGCGGUGGGGCCAUCAGUCACACUUUGAAUAGCAAGUUGGGCUCAGGAAAGAUUUCUCUGAGGCAAAGAUGCUUGAACUGACAGCCAAAGGUUGAAAGAACCUUACAGGAGAAGCCUUUGGCCUAGGAACCAGCUCCUGCAAAGGCCCUCGGAUGCUGGGAAAAUAAAGAGGGCCAGCCAGGUGGUCGGAGUGAAGAGUGUGGGGAGGGUGGAAUGUGGCUACAGAGAGCAUGUGACCAGGCAUGUAGAGAUCAUGUGACCUGGCAUGUCGGCCCAGGUGUGGCAUUGUCUAGAGUAUUUUUCUUGGAAAGAGAAGUUAUUGAAGGCAGUUGAGCAAGAAAGAGACCAAAUCAGACCUUCAUUUGGAGUUCUGACAAGGUGGUUCACCAUACAGGCCUGGAAAUCACUCUUUUCUCCAGAACCCUUGAAAAGAUGGAAGACAGGAACUGUCAAGUUAGCCUCUGACCUCCAACAAACACAGCAUGGCCUGCAUACCUACACACACGCAUCAUGUACUUGCACAGUAAUACAUUUUUAAAAAAAUGAAACAUCUGCAUUAUAAAAAAAAAAGAUGGAUCCAUCUGCAUCACAAGUAACAUGGAGAGAAGCAGAGUGGCCUCUGCACACCAGUCAGUCCACCCUGAGUGAGAGGACUGUGGAGUAGCAGAGUAGGAAGAGUUUUAUAAGGGUCUUGACAUGAGAUGAAGGCAUUCCAAGGGCACACACCGAACAUCGGACCUCACCAUCGGUGGAUGGUGAAGGCACCGUUGUUUCAAAGAGGGAAGCAUUCGAAGAUACCCAGAUUAAUGGAGAGGGUGUUGCAUGAUUGUUCUCUUGAGGCCUCUAUGAGACAUUCACGCUUAUGUGGGCUCCCAAGAGGUUGCUUCACCGACUUGGGACUCUAAGAAGAGGUGGGAACAGGAAGCAGUUGUGUCUUGUCUGGGUCGACGGUGUCUAAUACAAAUAGUGCGGAGGUAAAGGCAUGAGAUGGUAAGGUACACAUAACGCUGAACAGGAGAAGGAACAUGUGACUGCCAUGGAGAAAAUGGACAGGAGAAAAAAGCCACAAGGUGAGACUUGGCAGUCAAGGGAGGAAGGUUAGAAGGUGGUCAGCAGUGCCAAACGUUGCUGGAAAAUGGUGAUCCAACCGAGUUCGGUGUGGGGAAACGCAGAGACUUGUUCCCCUGAAGAGAAUGGAAGCUAAAGAGCAGAAGCAGGGUGCCAACGGAUUCGUCCAUCUGCAUAAACCACACUCCCCUAGAAACCACCUCUAAGGGCAUUUUGUCCAUCCUUUAAUCCUUCGCACACUGCCUGGGAUACAGUAGGCACUUACUAAAUUGUAUCGAUAAAAUUAAUGUGAAAGGGUGGAGAAUGGAAGGAUGAACGAGUGACAGGGAAGAACUGGAAUAAGGAGGCAUCUCAGGCGCUUGUCCCCGCUAUAUCCUUCACUUUUUUUUUUUAAACCGCAAUGGCCUGCAGCUCCCAAGAAACAAACGAUGGAGACCCCAGCCCAUCCUUCAACGGGGGGCCUUGGCCCCCCUUUAUCUCUGACGAACAGUCUGGACCCAGGUUCUGCUGACGUGGGAAGGGGAGGAGAGUCUGGAGGAAGGGGAGGGGAAAGCAGCGCAGAGACCGUAGAGACGGAGGAGGCGCCCGCGGCUGCAGAGCUGCAGAGCGGGGUCUCCCGGCCCUCUGCGUCCUAGCUCUCCGCACCUAGCCCAGCCAGACAGCAGCUCAUUCUCUCGGCGCGGCCCAUAGGGCCCCAGCGGUCGGCAAGCUGGCUCCCCGAGUAGCCACCGGGACCCCCGAGCCCAAUGGCGGGGGCGGCAACAAAAUCGACAGCGCCGUGGAGAUCGCCCCCGGCUCCAAUGGACAGGUCGGGAGCCUCGGAGAUGCGGUCCCCCCCGAGCAGCUGCAGGGUGAGCGGGAGCGCCGGCGGGAGGGGGAGGGCGACGCGCUGGGCAGCAGCCUGUCGCUGGCCGCGCCCCCGGGACCCCUCAGCUUCGAGGCUCUGCUCGCCCAGGUGGGGGCCCUGGGUGGCGGCCAGCAGCUGCAGCUCGGCCUGUGCUGCCUGCCCGUGCUUUUCGUGGCGCUGGGCAUGGCCUCAGACCCCAUCUUCACGCUGGCGCCCCCGCUGCACUGCCACUACGGCGCCUUGCCCCCCAACGCUUCGGGCUGGGAGCAGCCCCCCAACUCCAGCGGCGUCAGUGUCGCCGGCGCGGCCCUAGCAGCCAGCGCCGCCAGCGGAGUCGUCACCAGUACGGACCCCUCGUGCAGUGGCUUCGCCCCACCAGACUUCAACCACUGCCUGAAGGACUGGGACUAUAACGGACUGCCCGUGCUCACCACCAAUGCCAUCGGCCAGUGGGAUCUGGUGUGUGACCUGGGCUGGCAGGUGAUCCUGGAGCAGAUCCUCUUCAUCUUGGGCUUUGCCUCCGGCUACCUGUUCCUCGGUUACCCCGCGGACAGGUUUGGCCGUCGUGGGAUUGUGCUGCUGACCUUGGGGCUUGUGGGUCCCUGUGGAGUGGGAGGAGCUGCUGCAGGCUCCUCUACAGGCAUUAUGGCUCUUCGGUUUCUCCUGGGCUUCCUGCUAGCUGGUGUUGACCUUGGUGUCUACCUGAUGCGCCUGGAGCUGUGCGACCCAACCCAGAGGCUUCGGGUGGCCCUGGCAGGGGAGUUGGUAGGGGUGGGAGGGCACUUCCUGUUCCUGGGCCUGGCCCUUGUCUCUAAGGACUGGCGAUUUCUACAGCGAAUGAUCACCGCUCCCUGCAUCCUCUUCCUGUUUUAUGGCUGGCCUGGUCUGUUUCUGGAGUCUGCACGGUGGCUGAUAGUGAAGCGGCAGAUUGAGGAAGCCCAGUCUGUGCUGAGGAUCCUGGCUGAGCGAAACCGGCCCCAUGGGCAGAUGCUGGGAGAAGAGGCCCAGGAAGCUUUGCAGGAACUGGAGAAUACCUGUCCUCUCCCUGCAACGUCCACCUUUUCCUUUGCGUCCCUCCUCAACUACCGCAACAUCUGGAAAAAUCUGCUUAUCCUGGGCUUCACCAAGUGAGCCUGGCUGUCUGAGCUGAGGGCCAGCUUUAUUGCCCAUGCCAUUCGCCACUGCUACCAGCCUGUGGGAGGAGGAGGCAGCCCAUCAGACUUCUACUUGUGCUCUCUGCUGGCCAGUGGCACAGCCGCCCUGGCCUGUGUCUUCCUGGGGGUGACUGUGGACCGUUUUGGCCGUCGGGGCAUCCUGCUUCUCUCAAUGACUCUCACGGGGAUUGCAUCCCUGGUCCUGCUGGGGCUGUGGGAUUAUCUGAACGAUGCUGCCAUCACAACCUUCUCUGUCCUUGGCCUCUUCUCCUCCCAAGCUUCUGCUAUCCUCAGUACCCUCCUUGCUUCUGAAGUCAUCCCCACCACUGUCCGCGGCCGUGGCCUGGGCCUUAUCAUGGCACUUGGGGCGCUCGGGGGGCUGAGCUGUCCAGCUCAGCGCCUCCACAUGGGCCAUGGAGCCUUCCUGCAGCAUGUGGUACUGGCGGCCUGUGCCCUCCUCUGUAUCCUCAGCAUCAUGCUGUUGCCAGAGACCAAGCGCAAGCUUCUGCCAGAGGUACUCCGGGAUGGGGAACUGUGCCGCCGGCCUUCCCUGCUGAGGCAGCCACCUCCUAACCGCUGUGACCAUGUCCCGCUGCUAGCCACUCCUAACCCUGCCCUCUAAGCAGCCUUUGAGCCUAGUGGGAGGCCAGCCAUCCAGAAAAGUAGCAGAGGGCUAGAAAGAUAGACAGGAAGGCAAGGCUACCCCAUACAAAAGGCUCAAAGGCGCCUCAUGCCAACCGUCUAGGAGAGCUCAGAGGGCCGUUCCCAACCCCAUCUCCUCCCUGCUGCUUUCUGUUCACUCCGUCAGCAAGAGUCAGGCCAGGGGAGAGCAUCACGCUAUAACCAUUAGGUCUGGGCUCCAUCCUAUGCCCAAAGACAUUUCCCAGACCUCGCUCUUUCUCGCUCUUUCAUUCUGUUUCAAUAAAAGACAUUUUGAAUAAAUGAGCAUAUCAUAGCCUGGA
This is an RNA transcript of Mus musculus (house mouse), 6362 nucleotides long. It is a transcript of the gene named solute carrier family 22 (organic cation transporter), member 17, with no coding region annotated. The record is from RefSeq and is marked validated. Lineage: Eukaryota; Metazoa; Chordata; Mammalia; Rodentia; Muridae. The transcript has 10 exons.